AAGGAUUUAGUUAAACUAUAACAUUAGAAUGUCAAUCUGAAAUUACUAAAAAUCUAGUAUACCUUG
RNAcentral lists this transfer RNA (66 nucleotides) under Conophymacris viridis. Its description in RNAcentral is "tRNA-Asp". RNAcentral also lists the same sequence under 1 other name. The record is from RNAcentral. Lineage: Eukaryota; Metazoa; Arthropoda; Insecta; Orthoptera; Dericorythidae.